UGGUCUUGCUUUGUUGCCCAGGCUGGAGUGCAGUGGUGCCAUCACAGCUGACCACAGCCUCGAACUCCUGGUCUCAAGGGAUCUUCCUGCUUUAGCCUCCUAAGUAGCUGGCACUAUAGGUGCGCACCAUCACAGCUGGCUAAAUUGUGGCAGACAGGGUCUCCCUACUUUGCCCAAGCUGGUCUCAAAUUCUGAGCCUCAAGCUGUCCUCCUGCCUUGGCCUCCCAAAGUGCUAGGAGCCACUGCACCUGGCCUAGUUUUUUUAGAGACAGGGUCUCACACUCUUGCCCAGGCUGGAGUGCAGUAGUAUGAUCCUAGCUCAUUGCGGGCUUGGACUCCUGGACUCAAGUGAUUCUCUUGCUUCAGCCUCUCGAAUAGCUAGGAUUGCACUUGCGUGCCACCAUGUUUGGCUAAUUUUAAAAAUGUUUUGUAGAGAAAGAUCUUGCUACAUUGCCCAGGCUGGUCAUGAACUCCUUGCCUCAAGCACUCCUCUUGCCUCAGCCUUCCAAAGUGCUGGUAUUAUAGUUGUGAACCACUGUGCUCCACCAAGUCACUUUUAAUAUUGAGGUUCUGAUCCCUGUGUGUGGAGAGAUUGAGAAUAGAAUCAGGCACUAUCACCAUAGGUUGAGGAAGUGGCUUUUGUGGAGGUGAUCUCUUGAGUUUUUUUCUGCCUCAGUGGGGAUGGCAGGAUGACAAGUUGGCCUAAUUAGUCAAGUUGGCCUAAUUUGUAUUGGCCCCUGAGUCAUUCAGAGAAAGAAAGACCUGUAGCCUGGAUGUCAGGCAUGUUUGUGGGUCCAGAGCUCACCUUGAAGAAGGGGAUAGUUGGUGUGAGAUCUGUAUGUUUAUGGACAGAAAACAUUGGGUUCCUUGUUCCCAGGGAAUGUUCCAGAACUUCCAGCAAUGGUCAGAAGGAGCUGUUUCCAGAUUCAGCUCAGAAGCCAUAUUCUCCAAAAUCUGGAACAUGGAGAUUUCACAGCCCCCAUAUUCUGGAUAAUUCACACAAAGCUUGGGAGUUGGAGAUGAGGGAAUCAACACAGGCAUCAAAGAGGAGACAGAUGCCAAGACUAGCAUGGAGGAGAGAUUGCAGCUGA
This 1091-nucleotide long non-coding RNA is filed under the name Saimiri boliviensis boliviensis (Bolivian squirrel monkey). RNAcentral describes it as "lncRNA (ENSSBOG00000036768.1)". The record is from RNAcentral. Lineage: Eukaryota; Metazoa; Chordata; Mammalia; Primates; Cebidae.